UACGUAGGGUGCAAGCGUUGUCCGGAGUUAUUGGGCGUAAAGAGCUCGUAGGCGGUUCGUCACGUCGGCUGUGAAAACCUGAGGCUCAACCUCAGGCCUGCAGUCGAUACGGGCGGACUUGAGUACUGCAGGGGAGACUGGAAUUCCUGGUGUAGCGGUGAAAUGCGCAGAUAUCAGGAGGAACACCGGUGGCGAAGGCGGGUCUCUGGGCAGUAACUGACGCUGAGGAGCGAAAGUGUGGGGAGCGAACAGG
This 253-nucleotide ribosomal RNA is filed under the name uncultured bacterium. RNAcentral's name for it is "partial 16S ribosomal RNA". It matches the Rfam family "Bacterial small subunit ribosomal RNA", at positions 524 to 776 of the family's 1533-position model. The record is from RNAcentral.